Molecule: non-coding RNA, 26 nt
Filed under: Homo sapiens (human)
Lineage: Eukaryota; Metazoa; Chordata; Mammalia; Primates; Hominidae
Source: RNAcentral
CGGAAGGAACUGCAGAGUUGGAAGGC